This 192-nucleotide ribosomal RNA is filed under the name Ditylum brightwellii. Its description in RNAcentral is "partial Bacterial small subunit ribosomal RNA". It matches the Rfam family "Bacterial small subunit ribosomal RNA", at positions 24 to 209 of the family's 1533-position model. Lineage: Eukaryota; Bacillariophyta; Thalassiosirophyceae; Lithodesmiales; Lithodesmiaceae. The record is from RNAcentral.
UCAGAAUCAACGCUGGCGGCGUGCCUCAGACAUGCAAGUCGAACGAUUAAACUCUCCUUCGGGGGAGAUAUAAAGUGGCGCACGGGUGAGUAACACGUAGGUAAUCUACCUUUGAGUGGGGAAUAACUACCGGAAACGGUGGCUAAUACCGCAUAAUGCAGCGGCACCUAAUGGUGACAGUUGUUAAAGGAG